RNAcentral lists this transfer RNA (73 nucleotides) under Diaphorobacter nitroreducens. RNAcentral describes it as "tRNA-Phe". It matches the Rfam family "tRNA". From Rfam's summary of the family: Transfer RNA (tRNA) molecules are approximately 80 nucleotides in length. Their secondary structure includes four short double-helical elements and three loops (D, anti-codon, and T loops). The record is from RNAcentral. RNAcentral also lists the same sequence under 2 other names. Lineage: Bacteria; Pseudomonadati; Pseudomonadota; Betaproteobacteria; Burkholderiales; Comamonadaceae.
GGCCCGGUAGCUCAGUUGGUAGAGCAGAGGAUUGAAAAUCCUUGUGUCGGCGGUUCGAUUCCGUCCCAGGCCA